This 589-nucleotide long non-coding RNA is filed under the name Mus pahari (shrew mouse). RNAcentral's name for it is "lncRNA (MGP_PahariEiJ_G0012310.1)". Lineage: Eukaryota; Metazoa; Chordata; Mammalia; Rodentia; Muridae. The record is from RNAcentral.
GGGGAAGCGUAGUUUACAAUGGCAUCCAGCUGCAGAGCAGUUUGCUGGCAAGAGCCUAGACAGGCCCUGGAGAAUGAAGAUGACAAGCAGCUUUGACUUCCUUCUGUUUUCAUGUUGAACAGCAGCCGCUGCUAGAGCCUGCUAUGUCUGAGACGAUCCCCACUCAUCACUGUCUCUCUUAGGUGAGAGGAAACGCCACACACACCAUAGAAGAGUAUGAAGAAAAGGUGGAGGAAGCUGGAACUAAGUUCAAUGCAGUUCAACAGCUAUGAGAAGCAUGCCACUGUGGGAUGUUCAGAGUGGAGGAGGCUACACAUGUGCAGUGUCUGCCGCAGUGAAUUUGGAAGUCUUUUGUGAAGUGACGAAGUGAAUUCGCCUACUCAGUUAGCGCACAGCUUGGCUGGAGGAUUUCACAGAAGAGGAAAAGAGGAAACGUCAGUUUUGCUAUCGGUGUGCCCGGGUCUCAUUCCAGAAAGGAAGGGCUUUUUCCCCUCCUCCAGGGGAACAGGAUCUUCGUUUGUCAUAUGUUAACUCCGCUCCCUUCAAAGAUUCUAUUUUAAAUAAAAGGACUGUUUUUUUUCACCACAUA